Molecule: ribosomal RNA, 384 nt
Filed under: Arthrobacter sp.
Lineage: Bacteria; Bacillati; Actinomycetota; Actinomycetes; Micrococcales; Micrococcaceae
Description: bacterial SSU rRNA
Rfam family: Bacterial small subunit ribosomal RNA
Source: RNAcentral
ACCUGCCCUUGACUCUGGGAUAAGCCUGGGAAACCGGGUCUAAUACUGGAUACGACCUUCUGGCGCAUGCCAUGUUGGUGGAAAGCUUUUGUGGUUUUGGAUGGACUCGCGGCCUAUCAGCUUGUUGGUGGGGUAAUGGCCUACCAAGGCGACGACGGGUAGCCGGCCUGAGAGGGUGACCGGCCACACUGGGACUGAGACACGGCCCAGACUCCUACGGGAGGCAGCAGUGGGGAAUAUUGCACAAUGGGCGCAAGCCUGAUGCAGCGACGCCGCGUGAGGGAUGAAGGCCUUCGGGUUGUAAACCUCUUUCAGUAGGGAAGAAGCCGGCCUUUUGGGUUGGUGACGGUACCUGCAGAAGAAGCGCCGGCUAACUACGUGCCA